CCGCCGGCGACCGGCGCACGGGUGAGUAACACGUAUGCAACCUGGCCGUGACAGAUGGAUAACCGGGAGAAAUCCCGCCUAAUACAACAUAAUGCCGGGAGGGGACAUCCCCUGCCGGCCAAAGGGGGCGACCCCGGUCACGGAUGGGCAUGCGGCGCAUUAGGUAGUUGGUGGGGCAACGGCCCACCAAGCCGACGAUGCGUAGGGGUUCUGAGAGGAACGGUCCCCCACAUUGGAACUGAGACACGGUCCAAACUCCUACGGGAGGCAGCAG
RNAcentral lists this ribosomal RNA (274 nucleotides) under uncultured bacterium. Its description in RNAcentral is "partial 16S ribosomal RNA". It matches the Rfam family "Bacterial small subunit ribosomal RNA", at positions 85 to 354 of the family's 1533-position model. The record is from RNAcentral.